CAGGCCUAACACAUGCAAGUCGAACGAUAAAGCGACUUCGGUCGUGAUUAAAGUGGCAAACGGGUGAGUAUCACGUGAGCAACCUGCCCUCAAGUUGGGGAUACCCNCUGGGAAGCCAGGGUUAAUACCGAAUGUGGUCAAUUUUCCACCUGGAAAAUUGUGUAAAGGCGGCUUCGGCUGUCGCUUGAGGAUGGGCUCGCGUCCCAUUAGCUUGUUGGUAGGGUAACGGCCUACCAAGGCUACGAUGGGUAGCCGGCCUGAGAGGGUGAUCGGCCACACUGGAACUGAGAUACAGUCCAGACUCCUACGGGAGGCAGCAGUGGGGAAUAUUCCGCAAUGGGCGCAAGCCUGACGGAGCAACGCCGCGUGUGUGAUGAAGGUUCUUGGAUUGUAAAGCACUGUUGUCAGGGAAGAACGACCUAAGCUCUAACAUAGCUUAGGAGUGACGGUACCUGACCAGAAAGUCCCGGCUAACUCCGUGCCAGCAGCCGCGGUAA
This 497-nucleotide ribosomal RNA is filed under the name uncultured bacterium. Its description in RNAcentral is "bacterial SSU rRNA". It matches the Rfam family "Bacterial small subunit ribosomal RNA", at positions 43 to 523 of the family's 1533-position model. The record is from RNAcentral.